UAAGAGGAAAAUCCGUCGACUUUAGAAAUCGUGAUG
Molecule: transfer RNA, 36 nt
Filed under: Astelia menziesiana
Lineage: Eukaryota; Viridiplantae; Streptophyta; Magnoliopsida; Asparagales; Asteliaceae
Description: partial tRNA-Leu
Source: RNAcentral